Molecule: ribosomal RNA, 1291 nt
Filed under: metagenome
Description: SSU rRNA
Rfam family: Eukaryotic small subunit ribosomal RNA
Source: RNAcentral
GGCUUGGUAAUUGGAAUGAGGGAGAGUUAAACGGACCAUCGAGUAUCCAUUGGAGGGCAAGUCUGGUGCCAACAGCUGCGGUAAUACCAGCUCCAAUAGCGUAUAUUAAAGUUGUUGCAGUUAAAAAGCUCGUAGUUGGACUUGUGUGCGCUGUCCGCGGGUGGCCUGCGCCCAAAAGGGCGUUUCGGUUCGGCCCCGGUGGCGCCUUGAAAUCUGCAGCUGGGGGGACGUUGGCCUUAACUGGUCGGCGACCGCACGCCGGCUGCUCGGUUACUGUGAGAAAAUUAGAGUGUUCAAGGCAGGCAUUGGGUGCAAUUGAAUACAUUAGCAUGGAAUAAUAAAAUAUGGCUCCUGCCGUAUUUUGUUGGUUUUGACUGGUGGGAGUAAUGAUUGAUAGGGACGGUUGGGGGUGCUAGUAUUGAGCGGCCAGAGGUGAAAUUCAUGGAUUCGCUCAAGGCUAACUUAUGCGAAAGCAUUCACCAAGGACGUCCUCUUUAAUCAAGAACGAAAGUUGGGGAAUCGAAGACGAUCAGAUACCGUCGUAGUCUCAACUAUAAACUAUGUCGACUUGGGAUCGGCGGUAGUUUUUUCAUUAAGACACUGUCGGGACCACGGGAGAAAUCAAAGUGUCUGGACUCUGGGGGAAGUAUGGUCGCAAGGCUGAAACUUGAAGGAAUUGACGUAAGGGCACCACCAGGAGUGGAGCCUGCGGCUUAAUUUGACCCAACACGGGGAAACUUACCAGGUCCAGAGAUGUAGAGGAUUGACAGAUUGAAGCUCUUUCUUGAUCACUUCGGUGGUGGUGCAUGGCCGUUCUUAGUUGGUGGAGUGAUUUGUCUGGUUAAUUCCGUUAACGAACGAGACCUCAGCCUGCUAGUGUAGUCGGCUGGAUUGCCUUUGGCGAUCCGUGAUUUCGACUUCUUAGAGGGACAAUCGACGCGCAGUCGAUGGAAGUUUGAGGCAAUAACAGGUCUGUGAUGCCCUUAGAUGUUCUGGGCCGCACGCGCGCUACACUGCUGGGCUCAGCGAGUUUUACUUGGCCGAGAGGCCCGGUUAAUCUUGUGAAAUCCCAGCGUGCUUGGGCUCGCCUCCUGCAACUGGAGGCGCCAACGAGGAAUUCCUAGUAGACGCAGGUCAUCAACCUGCAUCGAUUACGUCCCUGCCCUUUGUACACACCGCCCGUCGUUCCAUAAGAGUGAGGCAUCCGGUGAAUUCUCGGGAGAGCCUGGGCGUGGCCAGCAAUGGUCUGCUCGGGUUUGAACUUGCAUAAACUUGGUGCCUAUGAUUAGGG